RNAcentral lists this ribosomal RNA (590 nucleotides) under uncultured fungus. RNAcentral's name for it is "eukaryotic LSU rRNA". The stretch from base 205 to 358 matches the Rfam family "5.8S ribosomal RNA". The record is from RNAcentral. Lineage: Eukaryota; Fungi.
UGGAAGUAAAAGUCGUAACAAGGUCUCCGUUGGUGAACCAGCGGAGGGAUCAUUACCGAGUUAUACAACUCAUCAACCCUGUGAACAUACCUAAAACGUUGCUUCGGCGGGAACAGACGGCCCUGUAACAACGGGCCGCCCCCGCCAGAGGACCCCUAACUCUGUUUUUAUAAUGUUUUCUGAGUAAACAAGCAAAUAAACUAAAACUUUCAACAACGGACCUCUUGGCUCUGGCAUCGAUGAAGAACGCAGCGAAAUGCGAUAAGUAAUGUGAAUUGCAGAAUUCAGUGAAUCAUCGAAUCUUUGAACGCACAUUGCGCCCGCCAGUAUUCUGGCGGGCAUGCCUGUUCGAGCGUCAUUACAACCCUCAGGCCCCCGGGCCUGGCGUUGGGGAUCGGCGGAAGCCCCCUGUGGGCACACGCCGUCCCUCAAAUACAGUGGCGGUCCCGCCGCAGCUUCCAUUGCGUAGUAGCUAACACCUCGCAACUGGAGAGCGGCGCGGCCAUGCCGUAAAACACCCAACUUCUGAAUGUUGACCUCGAAUCAGGUAGGAAUACCCGCUGAACUUAAGCAUAUCAAUAAGCGGAGGA